RNAcentral lists this ribosomal RNA (390 nucleotides) under Triticum aestivum (bread wheat). RNAcentral's name for it is "partial small subunit ribosomal RNA". Lineage: Eukaryota; Viridiplantae; Streptophyta; Magnoliopsida; Poales; Poaceae. The record is from RNAcentral.
AUGGAGGAACAAGAGGUAUCAGAUGCCAUGCUUUCCACAGAGUGCACUCAAAAUGUUGUGGGGGAGUUUGCAGCGAUGAGAAAUACUUGGAACAGUAACUCCAUUGUAGCAACUGACAAGAGCACCCUUACAAAUUGGUAUGCUUCUGCAAUUAUUGGACCAGGAGGUGUCAAAUGCCAUAUGACUUCCAAGCUUCUGGAGAAAACACUGAAAAUCUUGUGUUUGGAGUUAGCAAUGAGAGGAAAUAGUUGGAAGAAUAACACCAUUGUAGCAACUGACAAGAGCACCAUUGGAGUUUAUACAAAGUGGCAUCCUUCUGCUAUUUCUAGUUACUUGUGGUGGCUGAGAGAACUCUGCAGUCUGCUUCGCAAACUUGGGGUCAUGUUAUAG